GCGGCGAAAAAGAGAAGUAUUGUCGGCAAAUUCUUGUAUCUAACGUAUUGAAUUUUCGAAUUAAAAUGGGACAUUGGAGUUGUUGCGUAAACAAAUGUAAGAAUAAUGAUAAAAAUAGUACGUGUAAAUUUUAUAGAUUUCCGAAAGUAAAACAUAAAAUAACGCAAAAAUUAAAAUGGAUUGCAAAUGUAAGAAAAGUAAAUCCAGAUAAUGCAGAUGGAUCACCUUGGUAUUCUAAAUCUUAUGAAUAUAUAUGAGUGAGCAUUUUAUUGGUGAACAAAAGUCUGAUAGUGUGUUGAAUCCUAAUUAUAUUCCGACAAUAUUUUCUUCUGACAAUAAGGACAAAUUAAAAAGAGAGUAAAACAAAAUGGCAAGUCAUGAUUGUUUUACAAAGCGAAGGAUUGAAUAAAAAUCAACAACUCAUAAGCACAUUAAAACCAAUCGACCAUAGUCGAUACUAGAGUAACAGGUGAUAUUAAAAUAGGAAAAGUUAACAACAAAGUAGUUACAAGUGAUAAGGAAUGUUGAGUGAAUUUUGUUAUUGACAAUGUUGUAGGACAAAUUUUACUUCUAAUACUCAUUGUAAAUAGCGAUGGUUUCCGCGAUGUUAAAUAGAGAUCCAAAUAGAGAUUCAGGAAUUUACUAUUGUAAAAAUACCUAAUCAGAUACAGUUCAAAAAUAAAAAGUGCGGUACCAUACUUAACUUUUGUAGAUCAAGCAGCUGGGCCCAAUGUCGAGCAUGCGAAAAAUAGAACAUUUUUCUGGCUUUAUAAGUCUGUCAAAACUGAGGAGCAACUUUUAGAUUUAACUGGUGUAAAUUUUAGUAAUUUUCAACUUUUAUUGACUAGAUUGAAGAAAUACAGUACAUAUUCAAUUAUCAAAGUUUCACUUGAAAACCAAUUAUUAUUUUUAAUGUAAAGUAAUAUUUUAUAAACAAAUAAUAAUGAAAAUGAAUAUUUUUAAUAAAACUUCGCUUGAUUUUUGCUACAAUUAGUGUAUUGUUUUCUGUACACAUAACAUCUACUUCAAGAAUUUUUUCUCAACAUUGGAAAUUUUAGCUGAUGCUACAAAAAAUUUUGUAUUUUUGCCAGAAAAGCACGUAGUUCAAUUAACUAUGCAAGAAUGUUUCAACCUAGAUUAUAUAAAUACGAGGGUUAUUAUAGAUUGCGCAGAAUUAAAAAUUGAAAUUCCUGUUAAUGAUGAAAAUCAAGUCUACUGUUAUUCUAAUUAUAAAAAAAAGUUUUACAGGUAAAUUGUUUUUAGAUAUAACUCCAGUGGGUUUUAUUUGUUUAAAGUCAACAUUGGCCGGAGGACGAAAAAGUGACUCACAAAUGACAAUUGAAUCCGGUUUGAUAGAUUUAUUAAAAGAUGGACAUGUAGUUUUAACUGGCAAAGGGUUUCCAGAGAUCAAACGAACAAUAAACGAGAAGAGUAAAAAAGUAACAUUAGUUUUGCCACCUUUUUUCGCAAACGAGUUUAAAUUUUCAAAAGAAGAAAUAGAAGAAACACACAAAAUUGCAAGGGUUCGUGUAUGUAUCCACGUAGAAAGAAUUAUGUAACGACUACGAACGUAUCAAAUAUUACAUAAAAUUUCUCAAUAUCUGUUCAGUUCAAUUGAUUAUAUUAUUUAUAUAUUUUGUGUUUUAGUAAAUCUUCAACCACCGAUUUUUGCAGAACAAACUACUGAAUAGUAUUAGUUUCAAAAUUUUUAUUCACAUUUAAUUAUAAUAUAACAUCAUAUAUAACACUCAUAUUAUAUAUAUAGAAUUUAUUCAACUUAAAUGUUACAAUUUUGGUUUUUUACAAAGUAUAUUUCAUUUUUAUUGUGUGACGUGCCUUGU
Phymastichus coffea is the source of this 1841-nucleotide long non-coding RNA. RefSeq lists it as uncharacterized. The transcript is spliced from 3 exons. NCBI's taxonomy places the organism in Eukaryota, Metazoa, Arthropoda, Insecta, Hymenoptera, Eulophidae. The record is from RefSeq and is a predicted model, not a curated record.